GAGCAUCAUCAACAGGUUACCACUGUAUCCGUACCAUAAACCUCUGUACCUUGAUAAAAGUUCGAAGACCUUCACCAUACAAGAUGAACAAACUGGUGCUAGUUUUCAUGAUGACCCUGCUUCUUGCAAUUGCAGUAACUGGAAACCCUGCUGCCGAUGAGCUUACAAAGCGUGACUAUAGCUUUGAGAAAGAGAGCGGGGAGUGUGGAGUGGCUGGCUUCGCUAAGUGUCUCCUAAAAUUCCCCCGUAGGUUCUGUUGUGAAAUAUGCGAGGAUGCAUGUGACGAUAAAAAGUAGAGAACUAUUUUCAACAUGAUGGCGCUAUGCUAUCACAUUUAAACAUUUCCGCUAUACAGAUGCUGAAGUGUUGAAAUCAUUAGUUGAUAAUAAAGGAAUACCUCGCAUUGAAA
Molecule: long non-coding RNA, 409 nt
Organism: Gigantopelta aegis
Lineage: Eukaryota; Metazoa; Mollusca; Gastropoda; Neomphalida; Peltospiridae
Exons: 2
Source: RefSeq, a predicted model, not a curated record